UAUUUUAUCGUGAAACGCAGAUUUAAUGAUGAAGGCGCGUCGGAACCCAAACGUCAAGAAUCGCCGACGUUCACAGAAGCAGCUACAAUGAGCGGAGAAUCUGAGAGCCAGGAAUGCGGAGCACCUUGCUACUACUAAAAUGGAGAACCCGGACCUGUUAGCGACAUGGAACUGACCAGGACCGUCGUGGGCUCCUCAUGUGCCACCCCCGGAUACCUUUUCUGAUUGUGGUGUUUACAGUACAGUAGUGUACAUAUUCAUGAAAAAAAAAUUGUAGCUACUUUUUUUACAUUUUUAAAAAACGCACUCUGCAUGGUUUUGGAGUUUCGACUUCGUGCUAGAUAAAAACCCCCAGGCAAGAGCAAACAAUUUUUUUUCCUAGCCUAUAUUUGUGACCCACUGCAAAGGCCUCUCUUUUCUUCCGCCACCCAUCACGUUUUGCCGCCUGCUUCUGCUAGCCGCAGCAAAAUACGUCGAGGUCAUCUCGCCUCGUUUUUUUUGGUCUACCUCUGCCCCGACUAGUCGGGUGGUGUCCAGUUAGCAAACUAUACACCCUGUUUCUAUUUUAAAUUAUAUGUGUUGUAUUUUUUUCUUGUACAAUAAAGUGUUUACUUACUUACUUUUUGAAUUCGGUUAACUUUAAGGGAAGGUUCUUUAGAUUAAAUACGAUUAAUUUCUCAAAAAAGCUAGCGUCUUGACUGUUACGUUUACCGAGUUUGAAAAAAUUAUAGUUAUUUGUUUUACAAGGGGGCAAAGUAGUUGUUUAACUGGACGUGCCAAUAUUGAUACCUGAGCAAGGGAAAGAUUUCAAUAUUGAACCGCGAGCGUAGCGAGUGGUUCAAA
Leguminivora glycinivorella is the source of this 843-nucleotide long non-coding RNA. RefSeq lists it as uncharacterized. The transcript has 3 exons. NCBI's taxonomy places the organism in Eukaryota, Metazoa, Arthropoda, Insecta, Lepidoptera, Tortricidae. The record is from RefSeq and is a predicted model, not a curated record.